RNAcentral lists this ribosomal RNA (785 nucleotides) under uncultured Actinomycetes bacterium. RNAcentral's name for it is "bacterial SSU rRNA". It matches the Rfam family "Bacterial small subunit ribosomal RNA", at positions 77 to 863 of the family's 1533-position model. The record is from RNAcentral. Lineage: Bacteria; Bacillati; Actinomycetota; Actinomycetes.
UAGCAAUACAGGGUGUGGGCGCGUGGCGAACGGGUGCGUAACACGUGGAUAACCUUCCUUGAGGUGGGGAAUAACCCAGUGAAAAUUGGGCUAAUACCGCAUAACAUCGCGAUGGCACAUGCUGAUGCGAUCAAAGGCGCAAGUCGCCACAAGAGGGAUCCGCGGCCGAUUAGCUUGUUGGCGAGGUAAUGGCUCACCAAGGCAAUGAUCGGUAGCCGGACUGAGAGGUUGGCCGGCCACACUGGAACUGAGACACGGUCCAGACUCCUACGGGAGGCAGCAGUGGGGAAUCUUGCACAAUGGACGAAAGUCUGAUGCAGCAACGCCGCGUGGGGGAUGAAGCUUCUCGGAGUGUAAACCCCUUUCGACCCGGAAGAAUGCCCGCAAGGGUAUGACGGUACGGGUAUAAGAAGCCCCGGCUAACUACGUGCCAGCAGCCGCGGUAAUACGUAGGGGGCCAGCGUUGCUCGGAAUUACUGGGCGUAAAGGGUCCGUAGGCGGUGUAGCAAGUCGAUAGUGAAAUCUCUGGGCUUAACCCAGAGGCUGCUAACGAAACUGCUGUGCUAGAGUGUGAGAGAGGCGAGUGGAAUUACGGGUGUAGCGGUGAAAUGCGUAGAUAUCCGUAGGAACAUCCGAGGCGAAGGCGGCUCGCUGGAUCACAACUGACGCUGAGGGACGAAAGCUAGGGGAGCAAACAGGAUUAGAUACCCUGGUAGUCCUAGCCCUAAACCAUCAGGACUUGGGGUUUGCCCUGUACGGGGCAAGUCCCGUAGCUAACGCGUUAA